CUGCAUACGUACUCAAAGCAAGCCUCGAUACGCGGUUCACAGACACGCCCCCGAGAUUACCCGAAGCGCGAUUCGAAGCUUCGACACACAGGACACAUCACUAAUUAUUAAAGCUGUUCUUCGUUUCUCAAGUGUUGCUGGAGUUCCUGCUUUUUUGAGUUUUUUAGUUUAACAUGAAUGCAGAGGUAUAUCUCUUUAAUAUGACUAUUUUCUUCUUGUUUUACAGAACAAAAUGACCAUAAAAAGCUUGUUUGGAUUCUCAGUCACCCCAGAGAAUUUGACUCCUACUCCGGUGUUUAUCUACAUCUGCAUUACUGUUGUCUCCUUGCCCAUUCUUCUUGUUGUCAUUGUCACAUACAAGUGUAAACAAAAGAAAAACAGAGGGAGCAAACAUGAAAAUAAGACAGCUGAGAGGAAUUCAACUGAAGCUUUGAGCUCAGGAGAAACAGAAAAUGACAACAAGCAUUCCGAAGUCAGAAAAGCUCAGAGUCAGAAGGAUGAAGAGCACGAGAAGCAGGAAGUUGAGAAGAAGAUUAAGGCAGAGACUCUGAAGGCAAAUGAGAUUGAGGGGAAUGAGUCUGACACUCAGAGUCAAGAUGUAAAAGCUGAAGUCCGGAUGGUCGAGGAUCAGAAUGAAGGGAAUGAAAACCUGCAGACACCAAACAAAGAUGUGAAGACCGACAACGCUGAGCUCUCAAAGUCAGAUGAGGUUUUAAAGAAGACCAAACCUGAACCAGAGAAGCAGAGUGUGGAGAUCAAUACACCAAAGGAGGAGUUGGAGAAAAAUGAGGAGAUGACACCUGACAUGCUUAAGAAAAAGCAGAAGACUUCAUCACUGAAGCUCGCCCUUGCUGUCACCAGGAUAAAUAAACUGGAGGACACAGUUGAUCAGUUUUUCAGUGGUAAAAAUCAGUCGAUGGAAACCGAGCUGGAUAACCUGAAGAGGACGCUGCAGGCCAAAGAAAAAGAGGUUGAUUUCUUCACUUCACUUUUUAUACAUUGGCAUUUAUCCUUUUAUAUUUAGUUUAUAUGAGGUUUAUUUUUAUUUUCAGAUAUAUCAGAUUUCAGGUAUCUAUGUUUAAC
This 1083-nucleotide long non-coding RNA is filed under the name Oreochromis niloticus (Nile tilapia). RNAcentral describes it as "lncRNA (ENSONIG00000023746.2)". The record is from RNAcentral. Lineage: Eukaryota; Metazoa; Chordata; Actinopteri; Cichliformes; Cichlidae.